This 160-nucleotide ribosomal RNA is filed under the name Pyxidiophora nyctalidis. Its description in RNAcentral is "partial large subunit ribosomal RNA". It matches the Rfam family "Eukaryotic large subunit ribosomal RNA", at positions 1 to 164 of the family's 3401-position model. Lineage: Eukaryota; Fungi; Ascomycota; Laboulbeniomycetes; Pyxidiophorales; Pyxidiophoraceae. The record is from RNAcentral.
GUUUGACCUCAGAUCAGUAGGAAUACCCGCUGAACUUAAGCAUAUCAAUAAGCGGAGGAAAAGAAACCAACAGGAUUGCCUCAGUAACGGCGAGUGAAGCGCAUCAGCUCAAUUGGAAUCUGGCUUCUUUGAGUCCGAGUUGUAUUUGUAGAGAAACUUG